UGUAAAAUAAAAUUGUCAUUUCCGUUUAAGUCUAAAUGAAUUUCACAGUGUCAUUGUAAAAAAUAAAAAAGUCUAGAUCUAAUCUACAUAGAUUCAACCCAGAUAGUCUAGUCCUACUCAAUGGAAAAAUGGCAUUUAAAAUUAAAAUUCUUUUUAUAACUUUCUUUUAUUUUCUGUUGAACACUAAACAUUCAGACUCAAAGCCUGUAAUUAACCCUUUGAGAGACAAACUCAGAAUAGUUGGGUUAUACUUAGCAGCUCACAAGUACUUUGAAGUAGAUCGAAGAACGGGCAGUGAAAUGACUUGGAAGUACGAUGAAAGAGUAUACCAUAAGUAUUUCCCACUGCCUCGAUUAAAGAGACUUCACCCGGAAGUGCGGACUGCCUGUGACCAGGGAGUGCUGACCUGUAUAGACGUGAUUGCUGACAAUGCUGUCAAGUCUUACUCCUUGAAAUACCUCACUUUGAAGUACAUGAAUGAGACCAACCCUUCGAAACCAUUCGCCACACCUUUGGAACUUUUUCAAUACAGAGCCUCAGCUGCCUACUUCCUGUGUUGGUUCACUAUGCAGAGAUCAGAAUAUUUGAUGAAUUACAUGAGUGGCUCCAAUUGUUUGCAGGAUCUGGAGAAAGUCAAAGAGAAGGAAGUGGCCGAUAAAGACGUUGUGGACUUUAGACAUGACUCUAUACAGAACCCUUUCUUGUGUGCAGAAAUACAGUUUUGUCCAAAUUAUUGCUACGGAAGGAGAUCAGGUGGUUCUGUACCGUCUCAGUUAGCUCUGAUUAAAGAUUCUGGAAACCCGUGCAAACAUUUGAAAGACCCAACGUGUACAAUACUGCCUAAUGAAAAUACCGACUUCGACGGUCUACAGAGAAAUAUGUUUAAUAUCUCCUGCUCUUGUCAGAGAUCUGGAUUUAUCUGGAGCUCCCGAUUCGAACUCUGCGUUGAUGUGGAUGAGUGUAAGUUGAAGACUGUGACGUGUACCAAUGGUCAAGUCUGUCAGAAUCUGCCAGGCAGCUACAAGUGCGUCUGUCGCAAAGGUUACAGGUUUGAUGCAGAGAGCAACCAGUGUGUCGAGUUAGUACCCAUUCCGUCACAUUCUUUAUCUCGGACUGGAAGGGUUAAAGCUAUUCAACAGAAUGGCGUAGCGGAAAGGUAUGUUCCAUAUUUCUGUUGACGAAAGAAAUUUACUUCUGAAUAAGCCGCACCCCAUCAACCCGCCUCAUGAAUUAAAUGGAGACACAAGUUUACGAGACUACAGCUUUUUACCUCUAAAAAGUAGAUCUAGAGAGUUCUUCUAACCAGCCAACAAUAAGAUUUCUCCAUCUUCCGGAAAGGUUUCUAUUCCAACACCAUCACCAAUUUCUUUAAUCUGAAAAUUGCGUUUGACCGACUGAAGUUGCGAAGCUUAUCCAAGGGAGGUCAUUAAACUAUCUGACACUGAGAAACAUCUCCAGAGUAAAGUGUAGCAGGUCAAGGUCAAAUGUGGAAGUGUUUGCUGUCAAUGCUACCUAUUUGUGUCACCGAUUUACAGAAAACUUAAAUAACAUUAAAUGAAAAACUUAGAUAACACUAAAUAUAAACAAAAUACUUUUAUUAUUGUGAAAAGUUGGUAUGUGUCACAACCCCUUUAAUUUUUUUCAACAUAUUACAAGAUACAAUUAGAUAAACAACUAGAUCAAAAUGUGUUACAAAAUACAACUACAUCAACAUGUGUUACAACCUAUAACUAUAUCAACAUGUGUUACAACACACAACUACAUCAACAUGUGUUACAACACACAACUACAUCAACAUGUGUUACAACAUACAUCUACAUCAACAUGUGUUACAACAUA
RNA transcript from Biomphalaria glabrata, 1839 nucleotides. It is a transcript of the gene named fibulin-2-like, with no coding region annotated. Lineage: Eukaryota; Metazoa; Mollusca; Gastropoda; Planorbidae. The record is from RefSeq and is a predicted model, not a curated record. The transcript is spliced from 9 exons.